Molecule: ribosomal RNA, 368 nt
Filed under: uncultured bacterium
Lineage: Bacteria
Description: bacterial SSU rRNA
Rfam family: Bacterial small subunit ribosomal RNA
Source: RNAcentral
AAUAGCCCAGAGAAAUUUGGAUUAAUACCCCAUAAUAUAUUUGAUAAGGCAUCUUAUUAAUAUUUAAAAGCUUCGGCACUUGAUGAUGGGUGUGCGGCUGAUUAGAUAGUUGGCGGGGUAACGGCCCACCAAGUCUACGAUCAGUAGCUGAUGUGAGAGCAUGAUCAGCCACACGGGCACUGAGACACGGGCCCGACUCCUACGGGAGGCAGCAGUAAGGAAUAUUGGACAAUGGACGAAAGUCUGAUCCAGCCAUGCCGCGUGAAGGAUUAAGGUCCUCUGGAUUGUAAACUUCUUUAUAUGGGACGAAAAAGGGCAUUCUUGUUCACUUGACGGUACCAUAUGAAUAAGCACCGGCUAACUCCGUG